RNAcentral lists this ribosomal RNA (1431 nucleotides) under Bacillus velezensis. RNAcentral describes it as "Bacillus methylotrophicus 16S ribosomal RNA". It matches the Rfam family "Bacterial small subunit ribosomal RNA". The record is from RNAcentral. Lineage: Bacteria; Bacillati; Bacillota; Bacilli; Caryophanales; Bacillaceae.
AUACAUGCAAGUCGAGCGGACAGAUGGGAGCUUGCUCCCUGAUGUUAGCGGCGGACGGGUGAGUAACACGUGGGUAACCUGCCUGUAAGACUGGGAUAACUCCGGGAAACCGGGGCUAAUACCGGAUGGUUGUUUGAACCGCAUGGUUCAGACAUAAAAGGUGGCUUCGGCUACCACUUACAGAUGGACCCGCGGCGCAUUAGCUAGUUGGUGAGGUAACGGCUCACCAAGGCGACGAUGCGUAGCCGACCUGAGAGGGUGAUCGGCCACACUGGGACUGAGACACGGCCCAGACUCCUACGGGAGGCAGCAGUAGGGAAUCUUCCGCAAUGGACGAAAGUCUGACGGAGCAACGCCGCGUGAGUGAUGAAGGUUUUCGGAUCGUAAAGCUCUGUUGUUAGGGAAGAACAAGUGCCGUUCAAAUAGGGCGGCACCUUGACGGUACCUAACCAGAAAGCCACGGCUAACUACGUGCCAGCAGCCGCGGUAAUACGUAGGUGGCAAGCGUUGUCCGGAAUUAUUGGGCGUAAAGGGCUCGCAGGCGGUUUCUUAAGUCUGAUGUGAAAGCCCCCGGCUCAACCGGGGAGGGUCAUUGGAAACUGGGGAACUUGAGUGCAGAAGAGGAGAGUGGAAUUCCACGUGUAGCGGUGAAAUGCGUAGAGAUGUGGAGGAACACCAGUGGCGAAGGCGACUCUCUGGUCUGUAACUGACGCUGAGGAGCGAAAGCGUGGGGAGCGAACAGGAUUAGAUACCCUGGUAGUCCACGCCGUAAACGAUGAGUGCUAAGUGUUAGGGGGUUUCCGCCCCUUAGUGCUGCAGCUAACGCAUUAAGCACUCCGCCUGGGGAGUACGGUCGCAAGACUGAAACUCAAAGGAAUUGACGGGGGCCCGCACAAGCGGUGGAGCAUGUGGUUUAAUUCGAAGCAACGCGAAGAACCUUACCAGGUCUUGACAUCCUCUGACAAUCCUAGAGAUAGGACGUCCCCUUCGGGGGCAGAGUGACAGGUGGUGCAUGGUUGUCGUCAGCUCGUGUCGUGAGAUGUUGGGUUAAGUCCCGCAACGAGCGCAACCCUUGAUCUUAGUUGCCAGCAUUCAGUUGGGCACUCUAAGGUGACUGCCGGUGACAAACCGGAGGAAGGUGGGGAUGACGUCAAAUCAUCAUGCCCCUUAUGACCUGGGCUACACACGUGCUACAAUGGACAGAACAAAGGGCAGCGAAACCGCGAGGUUAAGCCAAUCCCACAAAUCUGUUCUCAGUUCGGAUCGCAGUCUGCAACUCGACUGCGUGAAGCUGGAAUCGCUAGUAAUCGCGGUUCAGCAUGCCGCGGUGAAUACGUUCCCGGGCCUUGUACACUCCUCCCGUCACACCACGAGAGUUUGUAACACCCGAAGUCGGUGAGGUAACCUUUAUGGAGCCAGCCGCCGAAAGUA